GCAAGUAUUUUUCAGGAAGAUUCUUCUAGUAAAAGUAAAUUGAAAUCUUGAGAGCUGUAGAAGCCAGAGAAAUAAUAGAUGGGCUAAUAUUGCCCUCUGGUGGAAAUAUUGAGACAUGACAGAUUGGAUCAUUUAUUAAAGACCAUGCCUUUAGCCCAGAGAAAGCCCAGGAAUUGAAAGUUUCCACUCUAUUAUGUGAUCUUACAGUGUUGUGUUAAAUUUUUUAAUUUAAUAUUUAAAACCUGAAUUAUAUUAGAUAGAAGGCUUGAAUAAGCAAUGUACAAAAAAUACAUGAUCAAUCAACUUCUGGAAAAAGUGUUCAAAUUUCAUUAGCAAUACAAAAAUACAAAGUAAGAAAAGACUGAUGUACUGUUUCAUCUCUCAAAUCAGCAGAAAGUUUGAAAACAAAGGGAUAGUGUGAGCAAAAGGGCGUUCAUAUGGUUUGUAGGGACAUAAAAUGCUACUGCGUUCUCAAUCUGGGGUUGUUUUGGUCGGAAGGCUCCGAAGAUGCAUAAAAAUUUGAACAUAUUUGCCCUUUCCUGAGAAGAGAUGCAAAAUCCAUCAGAUUCUCAAAGGGAUUCAUUCUCUCAAAUGUUAAGAACAAAUGUUUAAAUUAUUUGGGAGAAUAAUUUGGCAAAAUGUGCAAGAAAGUUAUGCGUAUGUGUAUUCCAAUAUUGUUUUGAAUGCUUAAUCACUAUAAACCACCUAAAUAUUCAACAGUGGGACAUUUGAAAUAAAUCACACUCCAGUUCUAUGAUAGAGUCAAUGUAGUUAUUAACAAUCGUGCUGUAGAAUUAAUGAUGCCGAAAUGUUCUUUAUACAUGAUGAGGUAGAAAAAGCAGUUUGCCAUUUAGUACAUGUGAUAUGAUCCUGAGUUUAUUGAAACAUAAACAUAUGACGUGCAUGAGAAAAUAUUUGGGAGUAUCCAUGAAAAAUCCCAAUGCCAGUUUGGGUAACUAAAUGCAAUGUGCUUGUCUUUAUUUUUAGAUAAAUUUACAAUGAAUAUAUUACUUUUGUAAUAAAAAGCAUGAUAAAUAUAAUAUAAAAAGGAAUGAUUAAUUUUCUAUCUAUUAGAAGAUUUGACACAGGAGAUUGUUAACUUUUAAUUAAUCAACUGAACUGAAUAGGUACAAUUUGAAAAAGCAUUUUAGAGGACUGGAACAAUAAUUACGUAAUACUCCACAUUGUUACUCUCUGCAGAAAGACCUUCUUAAUAUUUAAAAGCAGUUUAAAAAAUCUGUAAAUUUCCAAGCAAAUAGAAAAAUCUGUGCUAUUCUGGACUUUUACAAGACACUAGAGCCUUUGUGAGUCUUUUCUAGAGCAAGACAGAGUGAAAUAAAAUAGAAUAAAUUAAAAUGAAAUAAUUUAAAAAAUUAGAGCAUUAGCAAAGGUAACUAGGCCACUUUAAAUAUACAAAUAAACUCUUACAAUUUUUUUUGUUAUUUUUAGAAAAAAGUUUACACUUCCUUCACCUUUUAGGAGUGAAAGGAGCAAAGGAAGUAAGAAAGGCUUGGGCCGGAUGUGGUGGCUCAUGCCUGUAAUCUCAGCACUUUGGGAUGCCGAGUCGGUGGAUCACCUGAGGUCAGGAGUUCGAGACCAGCCUGGCCAACAUGGUGAAACCCUCGUCACUACUAAAAAUACAAAAAAUUAGCUGGGCAUGGUGGUGGACACCUGUAAUCCCAGCUACUAGGGAGGCUGAGGCAGGAGAAUUGCUUGAACUCUGGAGGCAGAGGCUGCAGUGAGCCCAGAUCAUGCCACUGCACUCCAGCCUGGGCAACAACAGGAAAACUCCAUCUCAAAAAGAAAAAAAAAAAGAAAAAAAGAAGAAGAGGAGGUGAGGGGAGGGAAGGGGAGAGGAGGAGAGG
RNAcentral lists this long non-coding RNA (1865 nucleotides) under Homo sapiens (human). RNAcentral describes it as "long non-coding RNA NONHSAT194767.1". The record is from RNAcentral. Lineage: Eukaryota; Metazoa; Chordata; Mammalia; Primates; Hominidae.